CUACGGGCGGCAGCAGUGGGGAAUAUUGGACAAUGGGGGCAACCCUGAUCCAGCCAUGCCGCGUGUGUGAAGAAGGCCCUCGGGUUGUAAAGCACUUUCAGUGAGGAAGAACGCCUGGUGGUUAAUACCCAUCAGGAAAGACAUCACUCACAGAAGAAGCACCGGCUAACUCCGUGCCAGCAGCCGCGGUAAUACGGAGGGUGCGAGCGUUAAUCGGAAUUACUGGGCGUAAAGCGCGCGUAGGUGGCUUGAUAAGCCGGUUGUGAAAGCCCCGGGCUCAACCUGGGAACGGCAUCCGGAACUGUCAAGCUAGAGUGCAGGAGAGGAAGGUAGAAUUCCCGGUGUAGCGGUGAAAUGCGUAGAGAUCGGGAGGAAUACCAGUGGCGAAGGCGGCCUUCUGGACUGACACUGACACUGAGGUGCGAAAGCGUGGGUAGCAAACAGGAUUAGAUACCCUGGUAGUC
This 464-nucleotide ribosomal RNA is filed under the name Vreelandella stevensii. Its description in RNAcentral is "partial 16S ribosomal RNA". It matches the Rfam family "Bacterial small subunit ribosomal RNA", at positions 339 to 795 of the family's 1533-position model. The record is from RNAcentral. Lineage: Bacteria; Pseudomonadati; Pseudomonadota; Gammaproteobacteria; Oceanospirillales; Halomonadaceae.